AUCGCUUCUCGGCCUUUUGGCUAAGAUCAAGUGUAAAAGUACAAUUCACUUAAACAUUAUCAGUAGUUCUAGUUAAAGGUUUUGGAGUAUUCUGAAGGAUGGCAAAUAGAAAUUAGAGGCUUCAUAGAGAUUUUAAGAUUCUUAAACCUUC
This 151-nucleotide small nuclear RNA is filed under the name Fukomys damarensis (Damara mole-rat). RNAcentral describes it as "U2 spliceosomal RNA". It matches the Rfam family "U2 spliceosomal RNA". From Rfam's summary of the family: U2 is a small nuclear RNA (snRNA) component of the spliceosome (involved in pre-mRNA splicing). Lineage: Eukaryota; Metazoa; Chordata; Mammalia; Rodentia; Bathyergidae. The record is from Rfam by way of RNAcentral.